GACAAACGAUUGACUUGUAUUAUUCACUACGAUUAAUCGUUAAACAAAGAUGACUUCCUGAAAUCAUUCAACUUGGUAUAUUGAGCUUGUAAUAACAAAUUUGAGAGCUGAAGGUCCCACCAAGACUCCUGAUAAAGCUUACUGGACGGAAGCCUGGACAUUUGACCCCAGAGCUCAGACCUCAACAAACCCGUGCAAGCAGAAUUUGUUUUCUGCAGGUUGAAACUCUGAAUUUUGGGGUCAGAUUGUCAUUUCUAUCUGGUGUCCUUAAGCAUGGAGAACUACUGACCUGGUGAUUUCAGAGACAAGAAAAAAGAAUCACAGCCUGUGAUGUUGACAAGAUUCGAUCAAUCGCAUGAACUUUAAUUAUCGAUGUGUUACAAAGUAGGGUCACCACAAGAUGGACAAGAAGUUUGUGCUACUUGCAACCAUGUACUAGAAGGACUGAGCAUGUUGGACUAUGAUGGAAACCAUGAAUGCAAGAAUAUUGCAAAAGGACUAUGCAAUUAAGAAUUAUGGACAAUCUGAAUGAUCAGGGAUACUGGGAUCAUGGGCUCCUAUGGGGAAUGGUUGUGGUCUAUGCACAAGUACUGGAAAUAGGUCAUGUGUAUGGGCUUGUGUGUACAGUUCAUGUAGUUUAGUAAGCUGUGACCCCAGUUAAGAAAGCUAAAGUAAGUCAGUUAGGAAGGUCACAGUAAAUUAUGAAUAAAAAGAAGGGAAAUGUGAGAUCUGAUGUCAGAAUAUUCAAUAAAAAGAAGGGAAAUGUGAGAUCUGAUGUCAGAAUAUUCAACAAGUAAGACUCCAUCUUGAUACAAAAUGGCAUAUAUAUUCAUAAGUGAAAUUACAAGAGAAGUUUUGUUUCAGAAUAAUGUAUGUUUAUAAUAUACGCCUAGAUAAGGAAUGUUCUGCAAAACAAGUUUGAAAAACAUAGAUAAAGGGAGCACCUGUCAAUCAAAAAUAAUUAGGAUAAGAUAAAAUAUUUGGGAUGUGCUUGACAUUUGGACAGAGAUUAUAUGACCUGAGAAAAGUUAUAAACAAUAGAUAAGGAAAUAAUUGCUUAAUUGCUUAUUAAAAGUGAUUGAUCUAAACGCACAGGGUGACACGUAUGCAUGGUCUCAUAUGUAUUGCACUGUAUGAGUUUUCCUAUAAAAGGAAUGACUAGAUGCCCAUUAAAGCCAGUGAAUAUCUGACACAGAAA
Pseudophryne corroboree (corroboree frog) is the source of this 1198-nucleotide long non-coding RNA. RefSeq lists it as uncharacterized. Lineage: Eukaryota; Metazoa; Chordata; Amphibia; Anura; Myobatrachidae. The transcript has 2 exons. The record is from RefSeq and is a predicted model, not a curated record.